Molecule: transfer RNA, 61 nt
Filed under: Colpocephalum spinicollis
Lineage: Eukaryota; Metazoa; Arthropoda; Insecta; Psocodea; Menoponidae
Description: tRNA-Tyr
Source: RNAcentral
AAUAAAAUGGCUGAGUUAUAAGCAGAAAACUGUAAAUUUUCUAACGGGAAAUCCCUUUUAU